CCUACGGGAGGCAGCAGUGAGGAAUAUUGGUCAAUGGGCGUAAGCCUGAACCAGCCAAGUCGCGUGAGGGAUGAAGGUUCUAUGGAUCGUAAACCUCUUUUAUAAGGGAAUAAAGUGCGGGACGUGUCCCGUUUUGUAUGUACCUUAUGAAUAAGGAUCGGCUAACUCCGUGCCAGCAGCCGCGGUAAUACGGAGGAUCCGAGCGUUAUCCGGAUUUAUUGGGUUUAAAGGGUGCGUAGGCGGCCUUUUAAGUCAGCGGUGAAAGUCUGUGGAUCAACCAUAGAAUUGCCGUUGAAACUGGCAGACUUGAGUGUGUUUGAGGCAGGCGGAAUGCGUGGUGUAGCGGUGAAAUGCUUAGAUAUCACGCAGAACCCCGGUUGCGAAGGCGGCCUGCCAAGCCAUAACUGACGCUGAUGAACGAAAGCGUGGGGAUCAAACAGGAUUAGAUACCCUAGUAGUC
RNAcentral lists this ribosomal RNA (460 nucleotides) under uncultured bacterium. Its description in RNAcentral is "partial 16S ribosomal RNA". It matches the Rfam family "Bacterial small subunit ribosomal RNA", at positions 338 to 795 of the family's 1533-position model. The record is from RNAcentral.